This 253-nucleotide ribosomal RNA is filed under the name uncultured bacterium. Its description in RNAcentral is "partial 16S ribosomal RNA". It matches the Rfam family "Bacterial small subunit ribosomal RNA", at positions 524 to 776 of the family's 1533-position model. The record is from RNAcentral.
UACGUAGGGUGCGAGCGUUGUCCGGAAUUAUUGGGCGUAAAGAGCUUGUAGGCGGUCUGUCGCGUCUGCUGUGAAAAUCCGGGGCUCAACCCCGGACCUGCAGUGGGUACGGGCAGACUAGAGUGUGGUAGGGGAGACUGGAAUUCCUGGUGUAGCGGUGAAAUGCGCAGAUAUCAGGUGGAACACCGGUGGCGAAGGCGGUUCUCUGGGCCGGUACUGACGCUGAGGAGCGAAAGCGUGGGUAGCAAACAGG